AGUAACGCGUAUCCAACCUGGCUUCAAGCAGGGAACAGGCUUUCGAAAGAAAGAUUAAUACCCUAUGUGGUCCUCGGAAGACAUCAGAGGAGGACGAAAGAUUCAUCGCUUGAAGAUGGGGAUGCGUCUGAUUAGGCAGUUGGCGGGACAAGGGCCCACCAAACCGACGAUCAGUAGGGGUUCUGAGAGGAAGGUCCCCCACAUUGGAACUGAGACACGGUCCAAACUCCUACGGGAGGCAGCAGUGAGGAAUAUUGGUCAAUGGGCGGAAGCCUGAACCAGCCAAGUAGCGUGCAGGAUGUCGGCCCUAUGGGUUGUAAACUGCUUUUGAAGGGGAGUAAAGUGAGUGACUUGUCAUUCAUUGCAAGUACCCUUGGAAUAAGGACCGGCUAAUUCCGUGCCAGCAGCCGCGGUAAUACGGAAGGUCCGGGCGUUAUCCGGAUUUAUUGGGUUUAAAGGGAGCGUAGGCUGCCCGGCAAGCGUGCUGUGAAAUACAGUGGCCCAACCACUGGACUGCAGCGCGAACUGUCGGGCUUGAGGGCGCACGACGCAGGCGGAAUUUGUGGUGUAGCGGUGAAAUGCUUAGAUAUCACGAAGAACCCCGAUUGCGAAGGCAGCUUGCGGGAGCGCGACUGACGCUGAAGCUCGAAAGUGCGGGUAUCAAACAGGAUUAGAUACCCUGGUAGUCCAUGCCGUAAACGAUGAGCGCUAGGU
Molecule: ribosomal RNA, 714 nt
Filed under: uncultured Prevotellaceae bacterium
Lineage: Bacteria; Pseudomonadati; Bacteroidota; Bacteroidia; Bacteroidales; Prevotellaceae
Description: bacterial SSU rRNA
Rfam family: Bacterial small subunit ribosomal RNA
Source: RNAcentral